CGAUGGCCCACGUAAGUGGGAUCAGGUAAGGGUGAAAGGGUGCGGUAAGAGCGCACCGCGCGGCUGGUAACAGUCCGUGGCACGGUAAACUCCACCCGGAGCAAGGCCAAAUAGGGGUUCAUAAGGUACGGCCCGUACUGAACCCGGGUAGGCUGCUUGAGCCAGUGAGCGAUUGCUGGCCUAGAUGAAUGACUGUCCACGACAGAACCCGGCUUAUCGGUCAGUUUCACUU
This 232-nucleotide RNase P RNA is filed under the name Salmonella enterica. RNAcentral's name for it is "partial RNase P RNA component class A". It matches the Rfam family "Bacterial RNase P class A", at positions 135 to 367 of the family's 367-position model. Rfam says of the family: Ribonuclease P (RNase P) is a ubiquitous endoribonuclease, found in archaea, bacteria and eukarya as well as chloroplasts and mitochondria. Its best characterised activity is the generation of mature 5'-ends of tRNAs by cleaving the 5'-leader elements of precursor-tRNAs. Lineage: Bacteria; Pseudomonadati; Pseudomonadota; Gammaproteobacteria; Enterobacterales; Enterobacteriaceae. RNAcentral also lists the same sequence under 1 other name. The record is from RNAcentral.